Long non-coding RNA from Myotis davidii, 339 nucleotides. RefSeq lists it as uncharacterized. The transcript is spliced from 2 exons. NCBI's taxonomy places the organism in Eukaryota, Metazoa, Chordata, Mammalia, Chiroptera, Vespertilionidae. The record is from RefSeq and is a predicted model, not a curated record.
AAGGUGCUCGCUAGCCCCCGGCUUGCACGUGGAGGUGGAGUGCAGACGCUCCCCAAAGCCGGGAAGGUCGAAGGUUUUGCCUCCCACUCGAGAGAAAUCAAAGGAUGUGCCGGAUUUCCAAUAAAUAGCACCUUUGGAUGUAGAAGAGGAAUGGCUCCCUCACCCUGCUACGCACACCCCCACGCCACCCCACAGCUCUGACACGGCUUUUCUUCGGCAGCCGCACACGGUUACCAUUCCCGGCGUGUGUGGGAGAAGACUGUUGUGCGCCUGUGUCUGUCCGCCUGGGCAGCUCCAGCCCCUGGUUAAUAAAAAAGGUACAGAUGGUUAAGACACGAA